Molecule: long non-coding RNA, 3085 nt
Organism: Gadus morhua (Atlantic cod)
Lineage: Eukaryota; Metazoa; Chordata; Actinopteri; Gadiformes; Gadidae
Source: Ensembl
CACACACACACACACACACACACACACACACACACACACACACACACAAUGGCUGUCUUUCUGUCCAUUUUUUUAUUUUACCCCUUUAAUUUGAAAUGCAUUUAUUCAAAAUGAUAACUUUUGACAAUUGGACUUCAACAUGUGAGUCAAACGCACAUCGGACACAGGCGGACAGACAGACAGACAGACCAACUAGCACAAACGCACACACAGUGACAUCCUCAGGGGCCUUUAUUGCUGGCCAGCACACAUGGAGGUCAUUUCAACAGCCUGUCUUCCCCUAAAACCCUUAAAUGGCUUUAACAGCGGGCCGAGCUAGACCAGACACAAACUAAACAGGCGCAUGAGUGUGAUUGCACACGUCCAAUGGCACACAGGAGUAUUUCAAGAUACACACACGCAACCAGCCGAGCUCAAGGGGAACGUAUAACAACGGGGAUUACAACUCCGGCAAUUGAAUUACACAUUGGGAGACAUGAGCAGGACUGAAUGCAUAUAUGUCCGCUGUGCUUAAACCUUCUGUCAAACUCAAACGUUGGUGAAGCCAUGGUUGGAAUAUGGUUACAAGAAGCCACCUGGCCUGACUGAGGGAAACAACGGUUGGCUGGCUGUCUGCUAAAGCCGAUAGCAGGAAACGCAGCCCUUACACUAAGCACCAAACUCUGGAGCUGGAGAAGGAGUUCCCUUACAACAUGUAUUUAUCGAAACAGCGCCGCCUAGAGAUCAGCCAAAACCUUGACCUAACAGACAGGCAGUUCAAAAUCUGGUUCCAGAAUCGCAGAAUGAAGAUGAAGAAGCAACACCGAAGUUCCAGGGAUACUGUGAAAAACAAAAACAGUGAAAACUGAUUAAACCAAGGACAUAGAAGACUGACCCUCUGAUUCAUUGACUGAAUGACAAAAUCAUUAAAGUUUUCAAAGCAUACAUAGACACACGCACGCACGCACGCACACACACACACACACACACACACACACACACACACACACACACACACACACACACACACACACACACACACACACACACACACACACACACACUCAUACAAAGAUAUAUAAUCAAACACUUAAUAACACACGUUUAAUUCUGUUCCGUGUCACUUGUCCGUUUCAUCAUUGUUAUAUGGAAAUUCCAUUUAUAAUGUAGGCCUACUUUAUAUCCUGUGGGAGCUAGAAUUCAAUUUUUAAUUAAUAAGUUUAUUAGCUUGUCUUUUUGAUGCCCACUUUGAAUUAGCGCACAAUUGGUCACCUUUUUGCUUAUAGUAUUUAGUAAGGCUCCACAUCUAGUACAUUCAGCACUUUUAAAAUAGUCUUGAACAUUGCGUUUCUACGUCUCCAGUGAAGUCAGAGGGGAGCUUUUUGGAUUCCACUGCGUAAAGACAUUAGAACAAAUAUAGUAAUCCCUUGCUGACCCAGCACUUGUGUUACGUAUUGGUACUUGUUACAUCAGAAUAGCAUUGUUUUGCAUGUGUUUAAUUUACACCCAAUAUGUGGCACACAUUUGAUAUAUGCAUGUAUUGCCUGAUAGAAUGCCGGAUAGAUUGAUAACACACAUUCAAUUCGGCUUUCCAAUUUAAUGAUUAAAAUCUUCCAAUGCUUUUUUCCUCGAAGGAAUGUAUUAAUAAAGGAACGCCUAUUCAAAGUUCAGAAAGUGGAGACUUAUUGCACACACUACUUUGCAAACUGAUGCACAGUGCUAUCUAGCUAUUCAUUAAAAAUGUAAAGUAGGACACUGAUAUUCCGUUCGCUAAAUGAAGUGUAGCCUACCGGAUAUUAAACUUUCAUAUUCAGAUCCAGAGGCCACACUGACCAAAUAUUCAAUAAUGAGAGUCUUGAUUAGAGAGAGCCUCAUUGACGUCUAUCUUCAGGUAAUAUUCAAGCUCAUUUAUUUUUUAUUUAUAGUUUUAAUUGAACCAACUUGAGUGUAAAGAUUGCAUUGCCAAAUCAUAGGUUUGAUCUUAUUGUGGUGCCGUAUUCAUCACGGAGAAGCAGUAGAAUUGUAUUGAAAGUGCGGCAUUAAAAAAUAUAGCAUCGGCAUACCAUUCUAAGAUUACAAAUGGGUAUUAUUCUUAAAGACGGAUUCAGCCCGAUCUAUCGUGGUCCAAAUGAAGUAUCUAUGUAAAGGCAUAUUAAACAUGGGUUAUUAUUAUUAUUAUUAUUAUUAUUAUUAUUAAUAGAAGAAGUAGUAGCCUAGUAGUAUACAGUAGAAUUAGUAGUAGUGGUAGAAGAGGCAUAGUAUUAGUAUUAUUAUAUAAACUGUUGUAGUAAUACACCUAUUACGUACUGGAUGAUAUCGUAGCCUACGUUUAAAACAAAUAGUAUUAUAACAAAGAAACUUCAUUAUUCAUUUGAUCAAUGUAGCCUACUUAGCUACCAGCCCAAUCUAUACAUUUAAUUAAAGGAAACAACUAAAUAAAUACUUUAUUCACACAUUGAAUUAUGUAAAAUUUAGGUGAGAGGCUUGGUUUGACCUAGCCUUUUAGUUUUUUGUUUGUUUUUGUUGUUUGAGUGUAUUUCGGGAAAGCCUACUUCUUCUGACUUCUAUAGCGAAAUUCCAUGGACAUCCUGAAGACGCGUGAAGUUGAAAAGCCAAGGUGCAGAUGGCUCACGAGACAUCCGCUUUCCGUGUCUCUGUUUGUGCGAGCGAGAGUAAUAAAAAAAAACCCUUAGGUCCACAGCCACAAAAACACACGCCCAUAAACAUAUUCACACAUUCUUUCUCUUGUUGUCUGCUUUUUGUAAUUGUUUGUACCUGGAAGUCCAAAAGCAGACUCUGGAAUUAUUCAUACGAUUUCAUAAAUUAUUGAGAAUGCCCGAAAGGGGAAGAGCUUCGUUUUUGGAUGGAGUAAAUUUAUUUCCAGUUAUUGAUUUAAUACGUGGUUGAGUGUCAGUGGAAAGAGUGCGUUUUAUGAAUUAUUAACCAUUCAUAAUCAUGGCAUGAUCCCAUUUUUUCGCCGAAAGCCUAUUGGAUUGGCUCGACAUUUUUUUUUUUACCUUAUAACCAAAUAACUCUAUCGUUAUAUUUUACAGACGACCCCGCAUGUGCUACGACUUGAUCCAGCCAUCCGUUUGCACUCAGCCCC